GACGAACGCUGGCGGCGUGCUUAACACAUGCAAGUCGAACGGAGAAUUUUACUUCGGUGAAAUUCUUAGUAGCGAACGGGUGAGUAACGCGUAGACAACCUGCCUCUUAGAUGGGGACAACAUCGCGAAAGCGGUGCUAAUACCGAAUGAAGUGGAGCUUCCGCAUGGAAGCAUCACCAAAGGUGGCCUCUAUUUAUAAGCUACCACUGAGAGAUGGGUCUGCGUCUGAUUAGCUAGUUGGCGGGGUAAUGGCCCACCAAGGCGACGAUCAGUAGCCGGUCUGAGAGGAUGAACGGCCACAUUGGGACUGAGACACGGCCCAAACUCCUACGGGAGGCAGCAGUGGGGAAUCUUCCGCAAUGGACGAAAGUCUGACGGAGCAACGCCGCGUGAGUGAAGAAGGUUUUCGGAUCGUAAAGCUCUGUUGUUUGAGACGAAUGUGCAGACUUUGAAUAAGGGUUUGUAAUGACGGUAUUAAACGAGAAAGCCACGGCUAACUCUGUGCCAGCCGCCGCAGUAA
RNAcentral lists this ribosomal RNA (520 nucleotides) under uncultured bacterium. RNAcentral describes it as "partial 16S ribosomal RNA". It matches the Rfam family "Bacterial small subunit ribosomal RNA", at positions 28 to 523 of the family's 1533-position model. The record is from RNAcentral.